This is a non-coding RNA of Paramuricea clavata, 141 nucleotides long. NCBI's taxonomy places the organism in Eukaryota, Metazoa, Cnidaria, Anthozoa, Malacalcyonacea, Plexauridae. The record is from the annotation of a GenBank genome assembly.
UAUAUAUAUAUAUAUAUAUAUGACGACAAAGUAGGAUGCGGAUGUGGGACACACAAAAUAUUAUAAAAGUGACACAAAAUAUUAUAAAAGUGUCCCACAUCCGCAUCCUACUUUGUCGUCAUAUAAAUAUCUGGAUGUGCA